AGUUAAUCGAUAUUCAUAUUGGAUUGUACAUUUGAAUUAAUUUAGGAAUUCUCGUCUUCAUAUAUCUAAAUAAUAUGUCUCUUAUUGACCGGAGAAUUUUCCUCAAACCGAUGGGAAGUGAAUAAAAAAUAAUCGUCACUUGCAAAAUAAUAUGAUAUCAAAGCCGAAUGAAUUUUCCUGUAUCCGAAUGAACGAUCGCAUUAUAAUGAGCUGCGGUCGUAAAAAAUUCCAAACCGCUCAUCCCGGCGAAAGGUUAAUGAGGUGCCUCAUUAGCCAAUGCUACAAUUUGCGCAUUACGACGCACAUGUUCACAAAUCAUAUAUCAACAUUUUGUCUAACUAGGCAUGCGUUCGAAGUGCAAAUAUGGAGCGAUAACCCCAUCCUCAGAUUAUAAAAACUGUUGCUCAAAACUGUUUUGUCUGUCGACACCGCAACUUCCAAAAUUUAUGAAUCAAGGAACAAGUCACAGGUCUAGAUUCAAUUGACUCUACGAGUUGACUCACUCUCUGUGGAUUAGUACAUACAACCCAAGGCAGGCUAAUACAGCGUACUUGAGCUUCGGAUACUCGUUCAUGUAUAUUGUUACCAUUCCAACAUACGUUUGAGGACUCGAUGGACGAUUGGAAUGUCUCUACCAUCGACCUUAAAGACAACAAUCUCUCCAACACGAACGGGUUCGUCCUGGUAAUUAGUGAGGAAAAGGAGAUCUCCACGAUGAAACGCUGGUUCCAUACUUCCACUGGAUAAAUUCAAUAGAAGAUAAAUGUAAUUGAGAAUAAGAAUUAUGUUUAUAUUCCAGUGUUAGUAACACGAAAGAAUAUGUUGUGGCGUUUACAUUGAAUGCUGAUUCAAAAUCCAGAGUGAGAUAAACCCAUGAUUACGUUCGAUAGAUAGUACAUGCAGAGUGUAAACAGCUUUCAAAUACAGAGUUUUAAUUACCCCAGUGAUUACAGAACAUUAAUAAACAAAUUGGGGAUGAGA
Fopius arisanus is the source of this 981-nucleotide long non-coding RNA. RefSeq lists it as uncharacterized. The record is from RefSeq and is a predicted model, not a curated record. NCBI's taxonomy places the organism in Eukaryota, Metazoa, Arthropoda, Insecta, Hymenoptera, Braconidae. The transcript is spliced from 3 exons.